CUGACUGCUAUCGGAUUGAUACUAAGCCAUGCGAGUCUUUGUAGUAAUACAAGGCAGACGGCUCAGUAACGCGUAGUCAAUCUACCCUAUGGACGGGGAUAACCUCGGGAAACUGAGAAUAAUACCCGAUAGAACAUUAUGCCUGGAAUGGCUUAUGUUCCAAAUGAUUUAUCGCCGUAGGAUGGGACUGCGGCCUAUCAGUUUGUUGGUGAGGUAAUGGCCCACCAAGACUAUUACAGGUACGGGCUCUGAGAGGAGUGGCCCGGAGAUGGGUACUGAGACACGGACCCAGGCCCUAUGGGGCGCAGCAGGCGAGAAAACUUUGCAAUGUGCGAAAGCACGACAAGGUUAAUCCGAGUGGUUUCUGCUAAAGGAACCUCUUGUCGGUCCUAGAAACACCGAUGAAUAAGGGGUGGGCAAGUUCUGGCGUCAUCCGCCGCGGUAAAACCAGCACCUCAAGUGGUCAGGAUGAUUAUUGGGCCUAAAGCAUCCGUAGCCGGCUCUGUUAGUUUUCGGUUAAAUCUGUACGCUCAACGUACAGGCUGCCGGGAAUACUGCAGAGCUAGGGAGUGGGAGAGGUAGACGGUACUCGUGGGAAGGGGUAAAAUCUUUGGACCUUUUGGA
RNAcentral lists this ribosomal RNA (624 nucleotides) under uncultured marine archaeon. RNAcentral describes it as "bacterial SSU rRNA". It matches the Rfam family "Archaeal small subunit ribosomal RNA", at positions 23 to 654 of the family's 1478-position model. The record is from RNAcentral.